Molecule: ribosomal RNA, 520 nt
Filed under: uncultured Glomus
Lineage: Eukaryota; Fungi; Glomeromycota; Glomeromycetes; Glomerales; Glomeraceae
Description: SSU rRNA
Rfam family: Eukaryotic small subunit ribosomal RNA
Source: RNAcentral
AGCAGCCGCGGUAAUUCCAGCUCCAAUAGCGUAUAUUAAAGUUGUUGCAGUUAAAAAGCUCGUAGUUGAAUUUCGGGAUCAUCAGGUUGGUCGUGCCUCUGGUAUGUACUGAUUUCGAUGGUUCCUCCUUCUUGAAGAACCGUAAUGCCAUUAAUUUGGUGUUGCGGGGAAACAGGACUGUUACUUUGAAAAAUUAGAGUGUUUAAAGCAGGCAAUCGCUUGAAUACAUUAGCAUGGAAUAAUGAAAUAGGACGUUCGAUCCUAUUUUGUUGGUUUCUAGGAUUGACGUAAUGAUUAAUAGGGAUAGUUGGGGGCAUUAGUAUUCAAUUGUCAGAGGUGAAAUUCUUGGAUUUAUUGAAGACUAACUACUGCGAAAGCAUUUGCCAAGGAUGUUUUCAUUAAUCAAGAACGAAAGUUAGGGGAUCGAAGACGAUCAGAUACCGUCGUAGUCUUAACCAUAAACUAUGCCGACUAGGGAUCGGAUGAUGUUAAUUUUUUAAUGUACUCUAUUCGGCGCCUU